Non-coding RNA from Camellia sinensis, 1614 nucleotides. NCBI's taxonomy places the organism in Eukaryota, Viridiplantae, Streptophyta, Magnoliopsida, Ericales, Theaceae. The record is from RefSeq and is a predicted model, not a curated record.
GUGGUUAUGGGGUCAUCCAAGCAUCAAAUCAAUAUGAAUUAUGAAUUUAAUGAAAGUUUGGUUAGGAUUCAUAGUAGGGUGACCGAAAAUCUUUUUGCUAUUAAGAAGGAAAAAAAAUCUGGGUUAUGUUUGCAAAGCACCACCCAUGGUCUCUAUCUGAUGUAGUCUGGAGAUUAGAAUAGAUUGGCAGAAACGGUACUUUCAAUAUGCCUUUGAAUUAAGAAAACAUUAACACAGUGAAUCAUUUUGUGGCUUUACUCGAACUCAAUAUAAACCCUCAUAGGGUAAAAGAUGUAACAGCGGACUGUUCUUUCCGUCAUUUUUGUCUUUCUCAGCACUUGCUGAGUAUCAGAAGCACUACCCUCUGUAUCCAUCUGAUCAAGUCUGGAGAUUAUAAAUGAUUUUCAGAAAUUGUGCUUUCCAUAACCGUUUGAGUAAGGAAUGCAUUUGCACCGUGAAGGAUUUUGUGGAUAUACUCCAUAUAAAUUCUGCGUGGCUAAAAGAGGCGGAUGCCCACAAGUUGGUAGUAUCAGCAUCGGAACACUGGAAUGAAGUAAAAUCUGUUGAUAACUUGGCCAUCUCUCUUGUGGGUGGCUCAAACUUGACCGUGAUUGAGUGUGCUACUGGCCGUAACUUUGAGACUAAUAACAUUGAUCUAUAUGUAAAUACACAGCCAGCUAUGUCUUCUACAAGUAUCAUGUCACCUGGGGGGUACAACUGGUGUUGGAAAUCUGGAUAAUACAAGUGGCCAGCUUUCGUCAUUCCAAUAUGCUAACUCCAUGAUCUGGGAACCCUUCGAUAUCUUUAGUUCUGAACCAUUCUUUCACUCUGAUGACAUUGAUAUAUAUGGAAAUACACAGCCAGAUACGUCUGCUGCAAGUACCAGACACUUGGAUCAUACAAGUGGCCAGCCUUCAUCUUUCCAAGGCGCUAACUAUCUACAAUAAUCACCACCCCCCAUCUCAGAAUGAUAAAGUAUGGCGGUUGCAGGAAAUUGAAGGAGUUUCUUAACUGAUUUAUGAUAAAAGUCAGCCGUCUCAAAAUAUCCUGCAUCGUUAAAUGCAUCACUGAACACAGCAACUUGUUUAAGACAUGAAUUUUUCCCCCUGAGGUUCUGUCUUCGAUGUGGGAAAGCCUUUAUUUAUUUUAUAUAUUCACGUUUAGGGCAAAAUCCAAGGCACAGAUCAGGGUCUACUCUGUUUCUGGCUUUCUAUUCCACCUUGAAGGAUUCUGCAAUAUGAUUUCAAGGUCAGGACGUCGAGUGGGUUGAUGAAGGACGCUAGCGGAGGCUGAAGUUUUGAGACCAUAGUUUUGCUUUUAUUUCCAUUGUGUUUUCAUCUGCGAACCUAUGACUUGGUGUAGGCUUUGGCAUAGCAUAUGAUUGGCUUGAGUGUAAUGUGCCAAACUAGUUGGGAUAUGACAUUUAAGCAAUGAUGCUGGUGUCGCCAAAACUUUUUCUUUCUUGAUGUAAGGCUAUGUACUUGUUUUGCUUUUAUUUCCAUUGUGUUUUCAUAUGAGAGCCUAUGACUUGGUGUAGGCUUUGGUGUAGCAUAUGAUUGGCUUAAGUGUAAUGUGUCAAACUAGUUGAGAUAUAACAUUUAAGCAAUGAUGCAA